AUGUACAAUUACUUGCCACUGACAGCUCUUUCUUUGAGCAGGUUGUUAGUAAGAAUCAUCGCAAAACACAGGCACAUGCCACCUCUGCAACUUCAGGCCACAACGUAGUGGCUUUGGAAAGCAAGGAAAAGACCUGCUAAACUGGAGGCCCCCAGGGCUACGGAGAAAGUAUAUUAUACACUGGGUGGACAAAAGCCACUGCCUGUAGUAC
This 211-nucleotide long non-coding RNA is filed under the name Apteryx rowi (Okarito brown kiwi). Its description in RNAcentral is "lncRNA (ENSARWG00000003482.1)". The record is from RNAcentral. Lineage: Eukaryota; Metazoa; Chordata; Aves; Apterygiformes; Apterygidae.